This 1501-nucleotide ribosomal RNA is filed under the name ammonia-oxidizing bacterium NS500-9. RNAcentral's name for it is "16S ribosomal RNA". It matches the Rfam family "Bacterial small subunit ribosomal RNA". The record is from RNAcentral. Lineage: Bacteria; Pseudomonadati; Pseudomonadota; Betaproteobacteria; Nitrosomonadales; Nitrosomonadaceae.
AGAGUUUGAUCAUGGCUCAGAUUGAACGCUGGCGGCAUGCUUUACACAUGCAAGUCGAACGGCAGCGGGGGCUUCGGCCUGCCGGCGAGUGGCGAACGGGUGAGUAAUGCAUCGGAACGUGUCCUUAAGUGGGGAAUAACGCAUCGAAAGAUGUGCUAAUACCGCAUAUCUCUGAGGAGAAAAGCAGGGGAUCGUAAGACCUUGCGCUAAAGGAGCGGCCGAUGUCUGAUUAGCUAGCUGGUGGGGUAAAGGCUUACCAAGGCAACGAUCAGUAGUUGGUCUGAGAGGACGGCCAACCACACUGGGACUGAGACACGGCCCAGACUCCUACGGGAGGCAGCAGUGGGGAAUUUUGGACAAUGGGCGAAAGCCUGAUCCAGCCAUGCCGCGUGAGUGAAGAAGGCCUUCGGGUUGUAAAGCUCUUUUAGUCGGAAAGAAAGGAUUGCAACGAAUAAUUGUGAUUUAUGACGGUACCGACAGAAAAAGCACCGGCUAACUACGUGCCAGCAGCCGCGGUAAUACGUAGGGUGCGAGCGUUAAUCGGAAUUACUGGGCGUAAAGGGUGCGCAGGCGGUUUUGCAAGUCAGAUGUGAAAGCCCCGGGCUUAACCUGGGAAUUGCGUUUGAAACUACAAAGCUAGAGUGCAGCAGAGGGGAGUGGAAUUCCAUGUGUAGCAGUGAAAUGCGUAGAGAUGUGGAAGAACACCGAUAGCGAAGGCAGCUCCCUGGGUUGACACUGACGCUCAUGCACGAAAGCGUGGGGAGCAAACAGGAUUAGAUACCUUGGUAGUCCACGCCCUAAACGAUGUCAACUGGUUGUCGGAUCUAAUUAAGGAUUUGGUAACGUAGCUAACGCGUGAAGUUGCCGCCUGGGGAGUACGGUCGCAAGAUUAAAACUCAAAGGAAUUGACGGGGACCCGCACAAGCGGUGGAUUAUGUGGAUUAAUUCGAUGCAACGCGAAAAACCUUACCUACCCUUGACAUGCUUGGAAUCUAAUGGAGACAUAAGAGUGCCCGAAAGGGAGCCAAGACACAGGUGCUGCAUGGCUGUCGUCAGCUCGUGUCGUGAGAUGUUGGGUUAAGUCCCGCAACGAGCGCAACCCUUGUCACUAAUUGCUAUCAUUUUUAAUGAGCACUUUAGUGAGACUGCCGGUGACAAACCGGAGGAAGGUGGGGAUGACGUCAAGUCCUCAUGGCCCUUAUGGGUAGGGCUUCACACGUAAUACAAUGGCGUGUACAGAGGGUUGCCAACCCGCGAGGGGGAGCCAAUCUCAGAAAGCACGUCGUAGUCCGGAUCGGAGUCUGCAACUCGACUCCGUGAAGUCGGAAUCGCUAGUAAUCGCGGAUCAGCAUGUCGCGGUGAAUACGUUCCCGGGUCUUGUACACACCGCCCGUCACACCAUGGGAGUGGUUUUCACCAGAAGCAGGUAGCUUAACCGCAAGGAGGGCGCUUGCCACGGUGGGGGUCAUGACUGGGGUGAAGUCGUAACAAGGUAGCCGUA